Molecule: ribosomal RNA, 440 nt
Filed under: uncultured bacterium
Lineage: Bacteria
Description: partial 16S ribosomal RNA
Rfam family: Bacterial small subunit ribosomal RNA
Source: RNAcentral
CCUACGGGGGGCAGCAGUAGGGAAUAUUGCUCAAUGGGGGAAACCCUGAUGCAGCAACGCCGCGUGGAGGAUGAAGGUUUUCGGAUUGUAAACUCCUUUUGUUAGAGAAGAUAAUGACGGUAUCUAACGAAUAAGCACCGGCUAACUCCGUCCCAGCAGCCGCGGUAAUACGGAGGGUGCAGGCGUUACCAGGAAUCGCUGGGCGUAAGGAGCGCGUAGGCGGGAUAGCAAUUCAGAUGUGAAAUCCUAUGGCUUAACCAUAGAACUGCAUUUGAAACUGUUAUUCUAGAGUAUGGGAGAGGUAGGUGGAAUUCUUGGUGUAGGGGUAAAAUCCGUAGAGAUCAAGAGGAAUACUCAUUGCGAAGGCGAGCUGCUAGAACAUAACUGACGCUGAUGCGCGAAAGCGUGGGGAGCAAACAGGAUUAGAUACCCGUGUAGUC